Non-coding RNA from Paramuricea clavata, 359 nucleotides. The record is from the annotation of a GenBank genome assembly. NCBI's taxonomy places the organism in Eukaryota, Metazoa, Cnidaria, Anthozoa, Malacalcyonacea, Plexauridae.
CUGUUUGAUCUAUUUUAUGCUGUUGAGCACUAUCUAACAUUUAGUGAAUCAAAAUGUAGACAUUUUCAGCAAAACUGCUUACGUGAUCGUGUCAUUCACAGAACUUGUAAAUCGUAAUGACCGUAAUGAACAUUGUACGUCAAUUUUAGGUUAAACAGACGUUAGAAGUGCUUACGUCACACAAGUUUUAAUACAGAGGACUUCUGGAAUGCGCAGUGCAUUGUGGGAUACUCGUGGGUCAAUAAUUUAUUAAAGUUUCUGAAACGUUCUCUGAUCGUAAAUUUUUUAUUUGAAACACAAAAACUUUAUUAUGAAUUUAUUGUUUGAAAAUUACGUGACGUAAGCACUUUUGAAGGUCC